UGGGGAAUAUUGCACAAUGGGGGAAACCCUGAUGCAGCGACGCCGCGUGAGCGGAGAAGGCUUUCGAGUCGUAAAGCUCUGUCCUAUGAGAAGAUAAUGACGGUAUCAUAGGAGGAAGCCCUGGCUAAAUACGUGCCAGCAGCCGCGGUAAUACGUAAGGUCCGAGCGUUGUCCGGAAUCAUUGGGCGUAAAGGGUACGUAGGCGGGUAAGCAAGUUAGAAGUGAAAUCCUGUAGCUCAACUACAGUAAGCUUUUAAAACUGCUCAUCUUGAGAUAUGGAAGGGAAAGUGGAAUUCCUAGUGUAGCGGUGAAAUGCGCAGAUAUUAGGAGGAAUACCGGUGGCGAAGGCGACUUUCUGGCCAUAAUCUGACGCUGAGGUACGAAAGCGUGGGUAGCAAACAGG
This 403-nucleotide ribosomal RNA is filed under the name Verrucomicrobiota bacterium. RNAcentral's name for it is "Verrucomicrobia bacterium partial 16S ribosomal RNA". It matches the Rfam family "Bacterial small subunit ribosomal RNA", at positions 355 to 776 of the family's 1533-position model. The record is from RNAcentral. Lineage: Bacteria; Pseudomonadati; Verrucomicrobiota.